ACGGAGGGUGCGAGCGUUAAUCGGAAUCACUGGGCGUAAAGCGCACGUAGGCGGUUUCGUAAGUCGGAUGUGAAAGCCCUCGGCUCAACCGGGGAACUGCAUUCGAUACUGCGAGGCUUGAGUGCCGGAGAGGGUGGCGGAAUUCCAGGUGUAGGAGUGAAAUGCGUAGAUAUGUGGAGGAACACCAAUGGCGAAGGCAGCCACCUGGCUUGCAACUGACGCUGAGGUGCGAAAGCGUGGGGAUCAAACAG
This 251-nucleotide ribosomal RNA is filed under the name uncultured prokaryote. Its description in RNAcentral is "partial 16S rRNA". It matches the Rfam family "Bacterial small subunit ribosomal RNA", at positions 525 to 775 of the family's 1533-position model. The record is from RNAcentral.